RNAcentral lists this ribosomal RNA (509 nucleotides) under Curtobacterium sp. RNAcentral's name for it is "bacterial SSU rRNA". It matches the Rfam family "Bacterial small subunit ribosomal RNA", at positions 77 to 599 of the family's 1533-position model. Lineage: Bacteria; Bacillati; Actinomycetota; Actinomycetes; Micrococcales; Microbacteriaceae. The record is from RNAcentral.
AGCUUGCUCCUGUGAUUAGUGGCGAACGGGUGAGUAACACGUGAGUAACCUGCCCCUGACUCUGGGAUAAGCGUUGGAAACGACGUCUAAUACUGGAUACGACUGCCGGCCGCAUGGUCUGGUGGUGGAAAGAUUUUUUGGUUGGGGAUGGACUCGCGGCCUAUCAGCUUGUUGGUGAGGUAAUGGCUCACCAAGGCGACGACGGGUAGCCGGCCUGAGAGGGUGACCGGCCACACUGGGACUGAGACACGGCCCAGACUCCUACGGGAGGCAGCAGUGGGGAAUAUUGCACAAUGGGCGAAAGCCUGAUGCAGCAACGCCGCGUGAGGGAUGACGGCCUUCGGGUUGUAAACCUCUUUUAGUAGGGAAGAAGCGAAAGUGACGGUACCUGCAGAAAAAGCACCGGCUAACUACGUGCCAGCAGCCGCGGUAAUACGUAGGGUGCAAGCGUUGUCCGGAAUUAUUGGGCGUAAAGAGCUCGUAGGCGGUUUGUCGCGUCUGCUGUGAAA